RNAcentral lists this ribosomal RNA (442 nucleotides) under uncultured bacterium. Its description in RNAcentral is "partial 16S ribosomal RNA". It matches the Rfam family "Bacterial small subunit ribosomal RNA", at positions 338 to 795 of the family's 1533-position model. The record is from RNAcentral.
CCUACGGGCGGCAGCAGUGAGGAAUAUUGGUCAAUGGGCGCGAGCCUGAACCAGCCAAGUCGCGUGAGGGAAGACGUAAUUCGGUAUGUAAAGCUCUAUCAGCAGGGAAGAAUAAAUGCCGGUACCUGAGUAAGAAGCUCCGGCUAACUACGUGCCAGCAGCCGCGGUAAUACGUAGGGUGCAAGCGUUAUCCGGAUUUACUGGGUGUAAAGGGAGCGUAGGCGGCGAUGCAAGCCAGAUGUGAAAGCCCGCGGCUCAACUGCGGUAGUGCAUUUGGAACUGUAUGGCUAGAGUGCAGGAGAGGAAGGCGGAAUUCCUAGUGUAGCGGUGAAAUGCGUAGAUAUUAGGAGGAACACCAGUGGCGAAGGCGGCCUGCUGGACUGUGACUGACGUUGAGGCUCGAAAGCGUGGGGAGCAAACAGGAUUAGAUACCCCAGUAGUC